Molecule: ribosomal RNA, 497 nt
Filed under: uncultured bacterium
Lineage: Bacteria
Description: partial 16S ribosomal RNA
Rfam family: Bacterial small subunit ribosomal RNA
Source: RNAcentral
GAUGAACGCUGGCGGCGUGCCUAAUACAUGCAAGUCGAGCGAACAGAUGAUGAGCUUGCUCCUCUGACGUUAGCGGCGGACGGGUGAGUAACACGUGGAUAACCUACCUAUAAGACUGGGAUAACUUCGGGAAACCGGAGCUAAUACCGGAUAAUAUAUUGAACCGCAUGGUUCAAUAGUUAAAGACGGUUUUGCUGUCACUUAUAGAUGGAUCCGCGCCGCAUUAGCUAGUUGGUAAGGUAACGGCUUACCAAGGCAACGAUGCGUAGCCGACCUGAGAGGGUGAUCGGCCACACUGGAACUGAGACACGGUCCAGACUCCUACGGGAGGCAGCAGUAGGGAAUCUUCCGCAAUGGGCGAAAGCCUGACGGAGCAACGCCGCGUGAGUGAUGAAGGUCUUCGGAUCGUAAAACUCUGUUAUUAGGGAAGAACAAAUGUGUAAGUAACUAUGCACGUCUUGACGGUACCUAAUCAGAAAGCCACGGCUAACUACGUG